AAUAAGUGCAGUUUUACACUAUUCACGUUCAACGUUUGACCGUUCGUCUUAUUUGAAAAUUUUUUAUGAUUAGUAUUUUUAUUGCUAUUAGAUGAUAAAACAUGAACAAUACUCUAUGUGUGACUAAAUAUUUUCAAAUUUUUCACAAAUUUUUUAAAUAAAGCGGACGGUCAAACGUUGGACACGGAUAUCCACGGCUGCACUUAUU
Non-coding RNA from Oryza glumipatula, 208 nucleotides. The record is from Rfam. NCBI's taxonomy places the organism in Eukaryota, Viridiplantae, Streptophyta, Magnoliopsida, Poales, Poaceae.